UCCCUGGUGGCACAAACAGUUAAGCACUUGGCUAGUAACCAAAAAAGUUGAUAGUUCAAAUCCAUCCCAUGGUG
Molecule: transfer RNA, 74 nt
Filed under: Loxodonta africana (African savanna elephant)
Lineage: Eukaryota; Metazoa; Chordata; Mammalia; Proboscidea; Elephantidae
Rfam family: tRNA
About the family: Transfer RNA (tRNA) molecules are approximately 80 nucleotides in length. Their secondary structure includes four short double-helical elements and three loops (D, anti-codon, and T loops). Further hydrogen bonds mediate the characteristic L-shaped molecular structure. tRNAs have two regions of fundamental functional importance: the anti-codon, which is responsible for specific mRNA codon recognition, and the 3' end, to which the tRNAs corresponding amino acid is attached (by aminoacyl-tRNA synthetases). tRNAs cope with the degeneracy of the genetic code in two manners: having more than one tRNA (with a specific anti-codon) for a particular amino acid; and 'wobble' base-pairing, i.e. permitting non-standard base-pairing at the 3rd anti-codon position.
Source: Rfam by way of RNAcentral